GAGCCGGGCUGGGGCGCGCGGCGGAGGCGCUAUGGCCCCGAGGGGCAGCCGAAGGCGCAGGGCGCUUCGCUGGCGGUUGCCGAGGCGGGCUUGGCGUGCGCAGGACCUCAGGGUGCUGUGCCUGGAUCCUCCUUUAACCAUGUGAAUUAAACUGAGGGAGAAAUUAAGGUCAUCUCUUGAGCAACAUGGAUGAGCUAGGAUCUGAAUGUGGGUCUCCUUACUUCACUUCUGGCGGCCCAGGAACCAUUCAAGUAUCUUGUGAUACCUGCGUUGCUCUUUGCGUACUUUCCAACUGUUAUCCCAACUAAAACUACUCCAAGCAACUCCCAGACAAGCUUUCAGCAACAAUGACAACCAACAGCCAACAAUUCCAGAAUCUCCAUCAGCCAGGUUGGAACCCCAGGUUGGCUGGGUAUGCUCUUCAGACCUGCACCUUAAUGUCCCUACUUUGGGACAAGACCUGUUUUGUGACUUCCUCUUUUCUUUCAAUUGAUUUGUUUUAAAUGAGUACACACAUUUUUAAUAGUCCACUAAAAUAGACAUGUGCUCACUUUCUUUUAAUCCUGUAGCCCACUCCGGCCCACUGUCCAAACUAAGAAAGAAACACCAGGUUGGCAAUGAAAGAGUUGGUGCAGAGGUUCCCCAGGGCAACUGACUGCUUGGCUCAGACGUCUUAUGCAAACAGCCACAGAAGCUUCAUGGCUUUCUUGCUGAAAAGAGAAGUGCUUCAUCAAACUUAGAAAUAUAUGCAAUCUAUAUCUGAAAUUGUUCUAUUAUAGUCAAGUACAAGACAUAUGUGAAAGCUGGUCCAUAAGGAAGGAUGAGGUGGGCAGAAAGACUGAGCGAGGACUCCUGAACCUGUCCAGUGGGUAGAAACAGAUGGGUCACUCCAUCCACGUUGGGAACAUGAUGCCACCCUUGCAAUGCUCUCUAAAAUGUGGUCUUGAUGGGAUCAUCUGUCUUCGCUAUUCAUUCAAGGGCAGAAAACAAGAGAACUUCCUAAUUUGUUCAGUAACCAAGCUUUGAUAGGCUGUCAAGCAGGAUCCAGUGGCCACGGCAUUGCCUGUUCUUGCCUCCAGGGGGUAUUUGGAAGCAUGGUUUCCUCCAAAUGUGACGAUCCCAUUGAACCUUAAAGACAGUAGCUACUCGCAUCUCUAUCUUCCAGAAUAUGGAAGAGCACUUUGGAGAGAAGCACUAUGUCAAUAUGAAGUAUGAAUAACAUUAGCUUUAGGGGUUCCUUGCUUUGUUUUUCACCGCUCGUCUUUAUUGUAUAUUCAAUUCUUGCAUUCACCGCUUGCUUCUGAGCAUCUUACUGCCAAUGCUGCUUCUGCAUGUCUACUAGGCAACAGAACAGCACCGGAGGUGCAAAAGUCAAAUAAUGUAUUUCAUUUUUAGCAGGUGACAGCUCUCUCCCCCCAAAAGCAACCAACAAUUCACCUUGCUAAUGUUAAAUUGCUCGAAGCCCUGAUGAAAAGUUGCAGGGAAACUUAACAUCCGCAGGGCAAAUCUGGUUUUUAAUUCUUCAUCUUCUUCUUUCUUUCUGUGUCUUUGCCUUCUAAAUGCCUUGGGCACAUUUUCCAAUUCUUUCCAUUUGGUUCUUUGGGAAUUAGAAGUACAUUGCAAUGGGAAAGCGGAACUCGAGAGCAACAUUUACCCGCUGGUAGGGUCCACUCAAAUGUAAAUGCUAGAGCUGGAACGUGUAUCUUUGUCUAUAUCUAAAUUGCAACCUUGAUUAGACUUUAGAGCAUAAUCCAUCUUCAGAGGAGAAUUUAUAGAGAAUCUUUAUGGGGAAGAACAGGCAUUGAUUUGCUCCGAGCUUGUGGACGGAGCAAAGAGACGACUUUUUCGAUUGGCUAAAAUUCAGGUUUUGCUGUGAGCAAUUUAAAUUUGGUUCAGUAGGAAUGAUGCUGCCUGCCUGCCUGCCUGCCUUCCUCCCUCCCUCCUUCCUCCC
This is a long non-coding RNA of Varanus komodoensis (Komodo dragon), 1951 nucleotides long. RefSeq lists it as uncharacterized. The record is from RefSeq and is a predicted model, not a curated record. The transcript has 3 exons. NCBI's taxonomy places the organism in Eukaryota, Metazoa, Chordata, Lepidosauria, Squamata, Varanidae.